RNAcentral lists this ribosomal RNA (918 nucleotides) under uncultured bacterium. RNAcentral describes it as "bacterial SSU rRNA". It matches the Rfam family "Bacterial small subunit ribosomal RNA", at positions 1 to 898 of the family's 1533-position model. The record is from RNAcentral.
CCUUAGAGUUUGAUCCUGGCUCAGGACGAACGCUGGCGGCGUGCUUAACACAUGCAAGUCGAACGGGGUGUUUAUUUCGGUAAACACCAAGUGGCGAACGGGUGAGUAACGCGUAAGCAAUCUACCUUCAAGAUGGGGACAACACUUCGAAAGGGGUGCUAAUACCGAAUGAAUGUAAGAGUAUCGCAUGAGACACUUACUAAAGGAGGCCUCUGACAUAAGCUUCCGCUUGAAGAUGAGCUUGCGUCUGAUUAGCUAGUUGGUGAGGGUAAAGGCCCACCAAGGCGACGAUCAGUAGCCGGUCUGAGAGGAUGAACGGCCACAUUGGGACUGAGACACGGCCCAGACUCCUACGGGAGGCAGCAGUGGGGAAUCUUCCGCAAUGGGCGAAAGCCUGACGGAGCAACGCCGCGUGAACGAUGAAGGUCUUAGGAUCGUAAAGUUCUGUUGUUAGGGACGAAGGAUAAGGAUUAUAAUACAGUCUUUGUUUGACGGUACCUAACGAGGAAGCCACGGCUAACUACGUGCCAGCAGCCGCGGUAAUACGUAGGCGGCAAGCGUUGUCCGGAAUUAUUGGGCGUAAAGGGAGCGCAGGCGGGAAACUAAGCGGAUCUUAAAAGUGCGAGGCUCAACCCCGUGAUGGGGUCCGAACUGGUUUUCUUGAGUGCAGGAGAGGAAAGCGGAAUUCCCAGUGUAGCGGUGAAAUGCGUAGAUAUUGGGAAGAACACCAGUGGCGAAGGCGGCUUUCUGGACUGUAACUGACGCUGAGGCUCGAAAGCUAGGGUAGCGAACGGGAUUAGAUACCCCGGUAGUCCUAGCCGUAAACGAUGGAUACUAGGUGUGGGAGGUAUCGACUCCUUCCGUGCCGGAGUUAACGCAAUAAGUAUCCCGCCUGGGGAGUACGGCCGCAAGGUUGAA